Molecule: microRNA precursor, 85 nt
Organism: Rhinopithecus bieti (black snub-nosed monkey)
Lineage: Eukaryota; Metazoa; Chordata; Mammalia; Primates; Cercopithecidae
Source: Ensembl
UUAGGUUGGUGCAAAAGUAAUUGCGGUUUGGGCCUUUAUUUUCAGUGGCAAAAACCUCAAUUGCUUUUGUGCCAACCUAAUACUU